RNAcentral lists this ribosomal RNA (256 nucleotides) under uncultured Gardnerella sp. RNAcentral's name for it is "partial 16S ribosomal RNA". It matches the Rfam family "Bacterial small subunit ribosomal RNA", at positions 99 to 354 of the family's 1533-position model. Lineage: Bacteria; Bacillati; Actinomycetota; Actinomycetes; Bifidobacteriales; Bifidobacteriaceae. The record is from RNAcentral.
CGAACGGGUGAGUAAUGCGUGACCAACCUGCCCCAUGCUACAGAAUAGCUCUUGGAAACGGGUGGUAAUGCUGGAUGCUCCAACUUGACGCAUGUCUUGUUGGGAAAGUGUUUAGUGGCAUGGGAUGGGGUCGCGUCCUAUCAGCUUGUAGGCGGGGUAAUGGCCCACCUAGGCUUCGACGGGUAGCCGGCCUGAGAGGGCGGACGGCCACAUUGGGACUGAGAUACGGCCCAGACUCCUACGGGAGGCAGCAGGG